This 2456-nucleotide long non-coding RNA is filed under the name Podarcis lilfordi (Lilford's wall lizard). Lineage: Eukaryota; Metazoa; Chordata; Lepidosauria; Squamata; Lacertidae. The record is from RNAcentral.
CUACAUAACAAUACCAAUACCAAUGCCUAACCGCCACUCGAGCAAAAGCUUGCCACAAAUACCCUCAAACCUGCAACCAAUCCCUAAUCCCAGACAUCAUAUCCGCCAACCACACAUUGUUUCCCACAUCGGAAAGAUGUACGCCAUCCUCUCAGUAGAGGGCCACAGCUGAACUGGAUGUUGGGGUGGUCAAUGACCCAACCCCCCAGAGCUGCCACUCUACAUGCCACCUAAUGUACCAAAAGCUUCCUGGGCUUUGUUUAUCGCAACAGGGCACCGACAUGCCUCGCCAGCAGUGGUGACCAAAUUAGGGUUGAAUCUGGCAAUGAGGCAAUCAGUUCAUUGAAAUCAUUGUAAAUGUCCCACAUCAAGUCCACGCCUUUCUGAUAGCCCAAGUCUAUGUGCACCACAAUGUCUCCUGAAAGCAAAAGAAGGUAACAAAGCCAGGUCAGAUAUACCAUGAACAAUCACAAGGUCUUACGAAUAUAUCCCUUAAAAGUAUUAGACUUCCACCGCCCCAAGUCCUUCAUCCAUUCAGCUGAGACUCCCAAAUGCAUUGCUCCCAAUUCGAAAGGCAAAUUCAGCUGGGGGUGAACCACAGGCAGCAAUCGCCCUUCGCAUAGCAGCAUGAACUGAUUCUGUGCAAGGUGGGAGCCAUCCAAAUGUAUGAGGAAUGGGCCUGAGACGGUUGAUCUCACGUACAUGAAAUGUCUAGUGCUCUUUACUGGGCAUGGCCCAUUGUGACUAGUUGUUUGGAGCCAAAUAAGGGCCCCCUUUCCCUGCUGAUCAGUUUUGGAACAUCGGACAUGCAGGACUAAAUUGGAUCUGGACAAGGUAAGGUCUCUCAAUAAACUUCCCCGGGCAGCGGAAUCUUGUUGGCCCUCACAAACCACUUCGCCAAUGUGCAGAGCGCCAAAGGAGGCGAUGGAGUAUGCAGCCAAAAAAUAACCGGGCCUUGUACUUAGACCAACAGAUACCUCUUUAUUGUUGUUGUUGUUGUUGUUGUUGUUGUUGUUGUUGUUGUUGUUGUUAUUUGGAUUUGGCAUAGACUGUCAUAAGUUAUGGGCCUUCUACCAUCACUGCUGGGAGGCUGCAGCCUGCGCCAGCCCCCCAGUGCCCUUCACACUAAGAAAUCCACACAAGGGUCUGUGGAGUAAAUAGCCUUACAGAAGGAGGAGAUUGCAGCUGACUGGAUGUUUAAGAGUCUUUGCUGUGUGACCCAGCUCCCUCAAAUGUACCAAGUAUUGCAGAACUUCAGCCUUGGUAGGGAGUGUGUCAAGCCUAGCAUUUUUUAAUUUGCUGUGUUGUUGUUGUUUAGUCGCCUGAACCUCUACCAUCUGCGCCUCUGCCGCUGCUGGUGGUGCCUUUGCCGCCUGAAUCUCUACCACCUGCGCCUCUGCACCUGCUACUGGUGCUUUCGCCACCUGAGCCUCUACCACCUGCAACUCUGCGGAUGCCUCUGGUGCCUCUGCCGCCUUAGCCUCUGCCGCUGAUGCCCCCACCGCCUGAACCACCUGUACCUCUGCUGUUGCCGCUGGUGCCUCCACUGCCUGAGCCGCUGCCACUGGUGCCUCUGCCGCCAGAGCCUCUAUUGCUUGGGCGUCUGCUGCUGCCGCUGGUACCUCUGCCGCCUGAAUCUCUACCACCUGUGCGUCUGCCACUGGUGCCUCCACCACCUGAGCCUCUACCAUUUCUGCCUCUGCCACUGCCGCUGGUUCCUCUGCCGCCUGAAUCUCUACCACCUGCACUUCUGCAGCUGCCGCUGGUGCUUUCGCCACCAGAGCCUCUUCCGCUGUCACUAGUGCCUCCAACUCCUGAGACUCUGCCACAUCAGGCCUCUGCUGCUCGCGCUUGUGCCUCCUCCGCCUGAGCCUCUUCCGCUGCCGCUAGUGCCUCCUCCACCUGAGACUCUAGCACCUGUUCCUCUGCCACUGGUGCCUUCAAUUGAAAUAAGCCCAAUGAAAGGUUAUUUGUCUUCUUUUUAUGCAGAUGGAAGCCAAAACACCUCUUUUGCUUUUUGGGGUGAUUCUGGUGCACACCCAAAAAACAACAUGUGAUUGGAAAUAAGAACAAUCAAAGCUUAUUCUUCUGUCUACGCAUAUGGAAGCGAAAACAAGGUGUUUUGUUAUUUUUGGACAUUACACUUUGCGAUUUCCCCUGAAUGUGCAUUAACACCAAAAAAACACGAAGCGAAUUGAAGUCAAAGCUUUCUAUCUAGAUAUAACACCAUGUUUUGUUAUUUUGGACAUUACACUUCGCUCUGCUUUUUUUUGGAUGAACACCGAAAAAACACGAAAUUAAAUAAACCCAGUCAAAGCUUAUUCGUCUUCUUUCUAAGCAUAUGGAAGGGAAAAGGUUUGUUUUGGACACACUGCAAUUUUGGGGUGAAUGUGCAUUCACACCAAAAAACACGGAUUUAGAUACCCCCAAUGGAACCAAAACACCCCAAAGAACAC